UACGUAGGGUGCAAGCGUUGUCCGGAAUUAUUGGGCGUAAAGAGCUCGUAGGCGGUCUGUCGCGUCUGGUGUGAAAAUCCAGGGCUUAACCCUGGACCUGCAUCGGGUACGGGGCAGACUAGAGUGCGGUAGGGGAGAUCGGAAUUCCUGGUGUAGCGGUGAAAUGCGCAGAUAUCAGGAGGAACACCGGUGGCGAAGGCGGGUCUCUGGGCCGUAACUGACGCUGAGGAGCGAAAGCGUGGGGAGCGAACAGG
Molecule: ribosomal RNA, 254 nt
Filed under: uncultured bacterium
Lineage: Bacteria
Description: partial 16S ribosomal RNA
Rfam family: Bacterial small subunit ribosomal RNA
Source: RNAcentral